ACGGCUCAGUAACACGUCGAUAAUCUAACCUUAGGUCAGGGAUAAUCUCGGGAAACUGAGUCUAAUACCUGAUAGGAGAAUGAUACUGGAAUGUUCUUUCUCUUAAAUUCGUGCCUAAGGAUGAGUUGGCGGUGGAUUAGGUAGUUGGUGGGGUAACGGCCCACCAAGCCUCAGAUCCAUACGGGCCUUGAGAGAGGGAGCCCGGAGAGGGACACUGAGACACUGGUCCCAGCCCCACGGGGUGCAGCAGGCGCGAAACCUUUACAAUGCACGAAAGUGUGAUAAGGGAACUCAGAGUGCUUAUGUUUAACAUGGGCUUUUGCCAAAAGCAAAAUUUUUGGCGAAUAAGUGGUGGGCAAGACUGGUGCCAGCCGCCGCGGUAACACCAGCGCCACAAGUGGCAAUCCCGUUUAUUGGGCCUAAAGCGUUCGUAGCCGGUUUUGUAAAUUCUCUGUGAAAUUGUAUUGCUUAACUUUACAACGUGCAGGGAAGACUGCAAAACUAGAGACCGGGAGGAGCUUGGAGUAUUCUUGGGGGAGCGGUAAAAUGUUAUAAUCCCUUGAAGACUACCUGUGGCGAAGGCGCCAAGCUAGAACGGUUCUGACGGUGAGGGACGAAAGCCAGGGGAGCGAUCCGGAUUAGAUACCCGUGUAGUCCUGGCCGUAAACGCUGCGAGUUAGGUGUUGCAUAUACCUCGAGUAUGUGCAGUAUCGAAGAGAA
This 720-nucleotide ribosomal RNA is filed under the name uncultured euryarchaeote. RNAcentral's name for it is "bacterial SSU rRNA". It matches the Rfam family "Archaeal small subunit ribosomal RNA", at positions 85 to 810 of the family's 1478-position model. Lineage: Archaea; Methanobacteriati; Methanobacteriota. The record is from RNAcentral.